RNAcentral lists this unclassified non-coding RNA (223 nucleotides) under Hevea brasiliensis (rubber tree). Lineage: Eukaryota; Viridiplantae; Streptophyta; Magnoliopsida; Malpighiales; Euphorbiaceae. The record is from RNAcentral.
AGCUCUCUUAAGGGUAUAUAUGUAUGACUUGCCUCCUGAUUUUCAUUUUGGGUUAUUGGCUUGGAAGGGAAAAGCAAAUCAAACAUGGCCAAAUGUUGAUGACCUUAAUCAUAUCCCACUAUACCCAGGUGGGUUGAACCUACAGCACAGUAUAGAAUACUGGCUGACCCUUGAUCUUCUAGCAUCAAGCACACCCAAGGUGGUCGGACGUGGCGUGCGGGGC